ACGCUCCCCCCGCAGCCCGGCGGGGCGGGACCGGGCGGGAUGCGCUGCGGCGCCUUCCCGCGCAGCCCCGGGGCGCAGAGGGGCGGCGGCGGCGCACCUGCUUCCGCGGGAGCGGCGAUUGAAAUGACCCCGGAGCUCAGCUCGGGGCGUUCUGCGCUGGAGCCGGCUCCUGCUCUGCACACCUGCCGGCGCAAGGCGCCCGCCUGUACCCGUCUGCGGACGAGGCGGAGCGCGACUUUGGGGUGCCUGUGGCAGUGAGGGGUGGUAAAGUCACCCCCGGAGUGCCAGUUCACGGCGUUUUAGGUCCUCUGAAAAUCGGACUGCACAACGGGAAAUUUGCAAAGGCGUCGGCAACCUGACGGGCUAAAGCGAAAAGCUGCGCCGCUCCCUUUCACAGAGCAAUCACAGCGAUGUGUAAAUAAGAACUACUGCGGGGAAGGCAGGGCACAGUCCUUUUCCAAUGGGAAUGGUGAAUGCCUGGUGCCUUUUUCAGUCAAUCCCAUUCUUCGGGUGUCAGCAGUUCUGUGAAAUUACAGUGUACAUGACCGAGGUCAAGGUGACCUGUUUGUUGUGGGUUUUGCCAGUAUAGCAACAGACGUAAUGACGUAUUCGUAACGUUUUUAGGACUGUAUCAUCCAUUUCAAGGCAAGCGCACAGAUUUGGUGCAUGGUGAAAUGUCCCACAUGCGCCUGAACUGUCCUCAUUUUGUAUGGAAAACGAUGAUGAGACCUUGUUGCUCAUUUAUAAGAAGAAUGGUAAAAUGCACCCAGGAAGAAAAAUUGCUAUGUUUCUAAUGGCCGCAUUACAGGAACUCUGCAACAUGUGAGUGCAAUCUGCACUGCUCCAGAAUACUGAGUCUUUAAAAUUUUACCCAUGCAGUCUGUUUGCUGGUUCAAAUAAUCUGCUUUUUCAAGUGGUUUUAAGUAACGCCUCACUGAUUGAAUUAUAAUUUUCCUGACUUUGUAAUUGCCAAGAAUGUCCUUGGCAAAACAUACAUAGAAUGUGUUUCAUCCAAUUUUGAAAUGUAUUUUGUAAUCCGAAUAAUAAAAGUUAAUAUUCAUCAGUUCCUCCCACCAUAGUUUCAACGAUUCAUUUGUUUUCAUUGUCAUGCUUUUCUUUCUCCCCUUUUUAAAGUGUUUUUUUGUUCUUUUUUUUCCUUUCCUUUGUUUUCAUCCUCCUUAUCCCUAAGUCACCCUCAUUUUUAUACCUUCCGUUUGUUUGCUUUUUUAUUUUGUUCUUUUGUGUGCCUUUACACAUUGGAAGCUUCCUUACAAAGUUUGAACAUUUAGGAUAGUUAAACUUUUUUACUUUUAAUCUGGAGAUUCUGUUCCUACUUUAUGUUUUAAGGUUGUUGUAAAAUAAACUGUAAGUUUGUUAGUUAGACGUUGUAAAAAUUGAAUUGUGUUCAGUGACACAGGUAGAAAUUAAAUAAAGUUUUCAAUUUAUUAUACAGGGAGGUAAUGGGGGUUGUGUAGCUGAAGAACUAUCUGCUGUGUACUUCUAAAUGUCAGUUUACAGCAGAGAGCUAUCUGUAGAUUCACACCUCACUGUAACAUCACCUGUUGUUCUCCAUCCUGUGAAUGGUUUCUUUUAAAAUUUGAUUAGUUGUUUUUAUAUUUAGAAAAAGAAAUAGCUUGUAAGUGCCUAUGUUUUUUCUUUGCUCAUGUUUUAACAAAUAAAAGGCCUUUAUAAUA
Long non-coding RNA from Corvus hawaiiensis (hawaiian crow), 1694 nucleotides. RefSeq lists it as uncharacterized. NCBI's taxonomy places the organism in Eukaryota, Metazoa, Chordata, Aves, Passeriformes, Corvidae. The transcript has 2 exons. The record is from RefSeq and is a predicted model, not a curated record.